Small nucleolar RNA from Beta vulgaris subsp. vulgaris (sugar beet), 96 nucleotides. It matches the Rfam family "Small nucleolar RNA Z266". Rfam says of the family: Z266 is a member of the C/D class of snoRNA which contain the C (UGAUGA) and D (CUGA) box motifs. Most of the members of the box C/D family function in directing site-specific 2'-O-methylation of substrate RNAs. Lineage: Eukaryota; Viridiplantae; Streptophyta; Magnoliopsida; Caryophyllales; Amaranthaceae. The record is from Rfam.
UGCUGGCAAGAAUGAUGAUACAAUACAAUUUGUGAAGAAUGUGAAUUCUUAUGAACUCUAAAUUAAUUUGCUUAUUGAUAUUCUGACCUGCCAGCA